UACGUAGGUGGCAAGCGUUGUCCGGAAUUAUUGGGCGUAAAGCGCGCGCAGGCGGUUCCUUAAGUCUGAUGUGAAAUCUCGCGGCUCAACCGCGAGCGGCCAUUGGAAACUGGGGAACUUGAGUGCAGGAGAGGGGAGCGGAAUUCCACGUGUAGCGGUGAAAUGCGUAGAGAUGUGGAGGAACACCAGUGACGAAGGCAGUUCACUAGGCCGAUUCAGACACUGAGAUGUGAAAGCGUGGGGAGCGAACGGGAUUAGAAACCCCGGUGU
Molecule: ribosomal RNA, 270 nt
Filed under: uncultured bacterium
Lineage: Bacteria
Description: partial 16S ribosomal RNA
Rfam family: Bacterial small subunit ribosomal RNA
Source: RNAcentral